UCAUCUAUAAAUAGAUUGUAAGACAAUGGUUUUUUAUCAUCGGAAUCCUUUGAACUAUAGAAAGGGAGAAAAGAUGGUGAGGAAGGAGAAGUUGGUUAUUGUUCUCACCUGGGUCGUGAUAGCCGCAUUAUUUUUGGUGAGCUCAAAUGCUGCUAGCUCUCAGACCGCUGAGUACGUGGUCCAUCCUCAAGGUUGUCGUUGCUGUUUUUUUAUUAUGAAGCCAUUAAUCCGCUGUGGCAAGGUGUGCUGUGGCGACGGAUGCUGUUAGCCAUCACUCAGACUACUGUCAUGUUCAGGAAUUGAGAGGAGCUUUUCUUUUUCUUUUUUAACCCUGUUUUUGAAGACUUUAUUCUUCAAGAGUAAUAAGAACAGGCUAGCUUUUGUGA
Magnolia sinica is the source of this 386-nucleotide long non-coding RNA. RefSeq lists it as uncharacterized. The record is from RefSeq and is a predicted model, not a curated record. Lineage: Eukaryota; Viridiplantae; Streptophyta; Magnoliopsida; Magnoliales; Magnoliaceae. The transcript is spliced from 2 exons.